UGGAUUGAGACAACGUACAAACCUUAUCGAUAAACAAUUGGAGGGCAAGUCUGGUGCCAGCAGCCGCGGUAAUUCCAGCUCCAAUAGCGUAUAUUAACGUUGUUGCAGUUAAAAAGCUCGUAGUUGAAAUGAAGGGUAGUUGUGUAAUGAAUACAUUCGUGUAUUUUGUUAUUCAAGUACCCUCCUUCUAAAUUCGAUAUAUGAGUAUUAAUUUACUUGUAUAUGGUUUUAGACUUUUACUGUGAGAAAAUUAGAGUGUUCAAAGCAGGCAUAUGCUUGAAUAUAUUAGCAUGGAAUAAUCAUGUAUGAUUUUCAUGAUGUAUUUGAUUGGUUUGGUUGAUGAGAAUAAGAUUAAAAGGGACAGUUGGGGGUAUUCAUAUUCAAUAGUCAGAGGUGAAAUUCUCGGAUUUAUGGAAGAUGAACAAGUGCGAAAGCAUUUACCAAGGAUGUUUUCAUUAAUCAAGAACGAAAGUUAGGGGAUCGAAGAGGAU
Molecule: ribosomal RNA, 491 nt
Filed under: Blastocystis sp. subtype 3
Lineage: Eukaryota; Bigyra; Opalinata; Blastocystidae
Description: SSU rRNA
Rfam family: Eukaryotic small subunit ribosomal RNA
Source: RNAcentral